GAUGAACGCUAGCGGCAGGCUUAACACAUGCAAGUCGAGGGGUAACGAUAGUGCUUGCACUAGGCGACGACCGGCGCACGGGUGAGUAACGCGUAUGCAACCUACCUCAAACUGGGGGAUAGCCCAGGGAAACUUGGAUUAAUACCCCAUAGUGUGUAUCAUUCGCAUGUUUGAUGUACUAAAGUUCCGGCGGUUUGAGAUGGGCAUGCGUGCCAUUAGAUAGUUGGUGAGGUAACGGCUCACCAAGUCAGCGAUGGCUACGGGGUCUUAAAGGAUGGUCCCGCGCACUGGUACUGAGACACGGACCAG
Molecule: ribosomal RNA, 309 nt
Filed under: uncultured bacterium
Lineage: Bacteria
Description: bacterial SSU rRNA
Rfam family: Bacterial small subunit ribosomal RNA
Source: RNAcentral